Molecule: ribosomal RNA, 465 nt
Filed under: uncultured Klebsiella sp.
Lineage: Bacteria; Pseudomonadati; Pseudomonadota; Gammaproteobacteria; Enterobacterales; Enterobacteriaceae
Description: bacterial SSU rRNA
Rfam family: Bacterial small subunit ribosomal RNA
Source: RNAcentral
CCUACGGGCGGCUGCAGUGGGGAAUAUUGCACAAUGGGCGCAAGCCUGAUGCAGCCAUGCCGCGUGUGUGAAGAAGGCCUUCGGGUUGUAAAGCACUUUCAGCGGGGAGGAAGGCGGUGAGGUUAAUAACCUCAUCGAUUGACGUUACCCGCAGCAGAAGCACCGGCUAACUCCGUGCCAGCAGCCGCGGUAAUACGGAGGGUGCAAGCGUUAAUCGGAAUUACUGGGCGUAAAGCGCACGCAGGCGGUCUGUCAAGUCGGAUGUGAAAUCCCCGGGCUCAACCUGGGAACUGCAUUCGAAACUGGCAGGCUAGAGUCUUGUAGAGGGGGGUAGAAUUCCAGGUGUAGCGGUGAAAUGCGUAGAGAUCUGGAGGAAUACCGGUGGCGAAGGCGGCCCCCUGGACAAAGACUGACGCUCAGGUGCGAAAGCGUGGGGAGCAAACAGGAUUAGAUACCCCUGUAGUC